Molecule: ribosomal RNA, 515 nt
Filed under: uncultured bacterium
Lineage: Bacteria
Description: partial 16S ribosomal RNA
Rfam family: Bacterial small subunit ribosomal RNA
Source: RNAcentral
GAUGAACGCUGGCGGCGUGCCUAAUACAUGCAAGUCGAGCGAAUGGAUUAAGAGCUUGCUCUUAUGAAGUUAGCGGCGGACGGGUGAGUAACACGUGGGUAACCUGCCCAUAAGACUGGGAUAACUCCGGGAAACCGGGGCUAAUACCGGAUAACAUUUUGAACCGCAUGGUUCGAAAUUGAAAGGCGGCUUCGGCUGUCACUUAUGGAUGGACCCGCGUCGCAUUAGCUAGUUGGUGAGGUAACGGCUCACCAAGGCAACGAUGCGUAGCCGACCUGAGAGGGUGCUGGGCCACACUGGGACGGAGACACGGCCCGGACUCCUACGGGAGGCAGCAGUAGGGAAUCUUCCGCAAUGGCCGAAAGUCUGACGGAGCAACGCCGCGUGAGUGAUGAAGGCUUUCGGGUCGUAAAACUCUGUUGUUAGGGAAGAACAAGUGCUAGUUGAAUAAGCUGGCACCUUGACGGUACCUAACCAGAAAGCCACGGCUAACUACGUGCCAGCCGCCGCAGUAA